This 1178-nucleotide ribosomal RNA is filed under the name Triticum aestivum (bread wheat). Its description in RNAcentral is "partial small subunit ribosomal RNA". Lineage: Eukaryota; Viridiplantae; Streptophyta; Magnoliopsida; Poales; Poaceae. The record is from RNAcentral.
CCCAUCAAAAAGAAAAAAAAAAGAAAAAAUGAGAAAAGAGGAAAAAAUUUGAGAAAGGCCAAAAAGAAAAAAAAAGAGGCUAAAGAAAAAAAAGAAAAAGAAAAAAAGGAAAAAAAAUGAGAGAAAAAGAGAGAAGGGACAAUGCUACUAUCUCUUUUUCCACACUUGUGCUUCAAAAUAGCACCAUGAUCUUCAUGAUAGAGAGUCUUAUAUGGUAUCACUUUCAUAUACUAGUGGGAAUUUUUCAUUAUAGAACUUGACUUGUAUAUUUCAAUGAUGGGCUUCCUCAAAGUGCCCUAGAUCUUUGUGAGCAAGCAAGUUGGAUGCACACCCACUUAGUUUCUUUUGUUGAGCUUUCAUAUAUUUUAUAGCUAUAGUGCAUCCGUUGCAUGUCAAUCCCUACUCACUCACAUUGAUAUUUAUUAAUGGACAUCUCCAUACAGCCCGUUAAUAUGCCUAGUUGAUAUGAGAUUAUCUUCUCCCUUUUUGUCCUCACAACCACCAUAAACCAUCAUAGUGUUAUGUCCAUGGCUUGCGCUCAUAUAUUGCGUAAGAGUUGAAAAAGCUGAAGCGCGUUAAAAAGUAUGAACCAAUUGCUCGGCUCGUCAUCGAGGUUGUACAUGAUGGGAGUAUUUUGUGUAAUGAAAAUGAAGCAUGGCCUAACUAUAUGAUUUUAUAGGGAUAAGCUUUCUUUGGCUAUGCUAUUUUGAUAUUACAUGAUUAUUUGUUAGUAUGCUUUGAAGCAUUAUUAUUUUUAUGUUUUAUAAGCUUUUAUUCUAAAUCUAAUGGAUAUAUUUUAGCCGGAAAAAUACUUAAUCCCGUAAAAUGGCAGAGUUUUACGAGCCGUCGAGCUUUUGUACAAUCUGCUAGGGAUGCUCUGAUCCAUCCUUUUUGGUAAAAUUGUAGCUAGCAGAAGAUCACCUAUAUACAUAUGUUUCUUGGUCCACAGUGAGUAGCCAAUAAAUAGAGUGCUGAAAUAAUAAUAUAUGAAAGUGCUGAAAUAAUAAUAUAUGAAAAAGAUUAUCCUAUAUAUGUAUGUUUCUUGGUACAAAUACGCAGCCAAACUCACAAGAGAACGUGCGCGUGUAUCUGAAUACCACAUGUCCACAUGACAAAAGCAAAACCAUAGCUAGAUGACGACAACAUUCAGAUGCAUUAUUUACAAUGUAAAAGAAAAU